This 330-nucleotide long non-coding RNA is filed under the name Rhagoletis pomonella (apple maggot). RNAcentral's name for it is "uncharacterized LOC118756866". Lineage: Eukaryota; Metazoa; Arthropoda; Insecta; Diptera; Tephritidae. The record is from RNAcentral.
UAUUUAUAUACAUACAUACAGAUCUACAUGCAUACAUACAACCAUACAUACAUACACCCAUACAUACAUACACCCAUACGUAUGAACAACCAAAGGGAAGCACGCAAAAGUGCAAAGCAUUCAUACACACCAAUACUCAGCGAGAAUACGUUGCUCAAACAUGCCAAAAAUCACGAUCUUCAUUCGCUUCUCAACCUGCUUAUCCAACAACCGACUUAAGUUGAUUAACGCCAACUCAGCCAGCACCAGCUUCCGUAGCUUCCGUAGGUGACUUCCGUGACCGUUUCGGACCGCCAAUAUUAAGUGCCGCCCUGGGCCAAGACUACAACA